This 463-nucleotide ribosomal RNA is filed under the name uncultured bacterium. RNAcentral describes it as "bacterial SSU rRNA". It matches the Rfam family "Bacterial small subunit ribosomal RNA", at positions 28 to 521 of the family's 1533-position model. The record is from RNAcentral.
GACGAACGCUGGCGGCGUGCUUUAGACAUGCAAGUCGAACGAGAUCUUCGGAUCUAGUGGCGAACGGCGGAGUAAUACAUAAACAACGUGCCCUGAAGACUGGGAUAUACGGUCGAAAGGCCGAGCAAUACCGGAUGUGGCCGAGACUAGGCAUCUAGACUCGAUUAAAUGGUUUUCGCUUCAGGAGCGGUUUAUGACUCAUCAGCUAGUUGGUAGGUAAUGGCCUACCAAGGCUACGACGGGUAGGGGUCUGAGAGGAUGAUCCCCCCGAGUGGGACUGAGACACGGCCCACACACCUACGGGUGGCAGCAGUUUGGAAUCUUGCCCAAUGGGGGAAACCCUGAGGCAGCGACGCCGCGUGGAGGAUGAAGGAUUUAGGUCUGUAAACUCCUUUUGCCAGGAAAGACUUAGGACGGUACCUGGCGAAUAAGCUCCGGCUAACUACGUGCCAGCAGCCGCGGU